GAUGAACGCUGGCGGCGUGCUUAACACAUGCAAGUCGAACGGUGAAGGCGGAGCUUGCUCUGCUGGAUCAGUGGCGAACGGGUGAGUAACACGUGAGCAAUCUGCCCCUGACUCUGGGAUAAGCGCUGGAAACGGCGUCUAAUACUGGAUACGAGCUGCGAAGGCAUCUUCAGCAGCUGGAAAGAAUUUCGGUCAGGGAUGAGCUCGCGACCUAUCAGCUUGUUGGUGAGGUAAUGGCUCACCAAGGCGUCGACGGGUAGCCGGCCUGAGAGGGUGACCGGCCACACUGGGACUGAGACACGGACCAGACUCCUACGGGAGGCAGCAGUGGGGAAUAUUGCACAAUGGGCGAAAGCCUGAUGCAGCAACGCCGCGUGAGGGACGACGGCCUUCGGGUUGUAAACCUCUUUUAGCAGGGAAGAAGCGAAAGUGACGGUACCUGCAGAAAAAGCGCCGGCUAACUACGUG
RNAcentral lists this ribosomal RNA (468 nucleotides) under uncultured bacterium. RNAcentral describes it as "partial 16S ribosomal RNA". It matches the Rfam family "Bacterial small subunit ribosomal RNA", at positions 28 to 507 of the family's 1533-position model. The record is from RNAcentral.